Molecule: non-coding RNA, 2728 nt
Filed under: Pongo abelii (Sumatran orangutan)
Lineage: Eukaryota; Metazoa; Chordata; Mammalia; Primates; Hominidae
Source: RNAcentral
GUGUGUCAAUUGCUGUGACUGUGUGGCAGCUUGCCCAUCUCCUGAGAGCCCUUGGGAAAGUGAAGGACAAUAUAUAAGGACUCCAAUCACUGAAAAGCUAAGUAUUAAGUUUUUCCUUGCCACUGUUGACCCAGGUUUGUUGUACAGAUUGCAGACCUGCAGAUGGAUACCUUGUUCCUGGUUCAGUGCUGCCCAGGCUCCUCUACUGGGGGACCCUAUCCCUUGCUCCUCAUAGUCCUGAUUUCUAGGACCAUAACCCUAUUAUAAUUAAAAUCCCAGCAUUAGCAUAGGCUCCUGGCUACAACCUUUGCCCUACUUAUUGUAUGGAAUUUGCUAAUGCCUUUGCUAUCCAUUCCAACACCAGGCCUGGACAGCACCAAGCUGCCCUGCUUGCAGCUGAAAAACUUUUAACUUAAUAGUCUUUGAAGUUUUGUCAUAACAGUGUUAAAUAGUACUCUAUACUGUAUCUGUCUUUUGAACUGUAUGCAAAAGAAGUUACAUUAAAUAUAUUUUAUAGAAAUAUGUGCACUUUUUAUCUGACACUUGAUUGCUCACCCCUAAGGACAUCAUUCCUGUUGACCUAAACUAGUACAUCUAUUUGCAGUAGGAGAAGUGGUUUUGGAGAAAAUCACCCAUCUCCUCAGAACUGGUCUUACAAGUCUAUGAAGUAACACUAUGUGCCAUAGCCUAAUCACUCAUAUAUGACAAAGAGAACACCAAAUAAGCAUAUUUCCAGCAGGAAAUGACCAGUGCUUUGGUUAAGAAUGCACAUUAUACUGCAGUUCUUUAGGGAAUUAAGCCACCCUUGACUGAGGUAUUAUGCCAACUCUCACUCUGUGAAUCCACUGACUGAGGAACAUUGUUUAAGAAAAUCACAUGGCUGUGCCAACAAGCAAGGAGACACGGCAGAGAAGACAGAGGCAGAAGCAGCUUUACUGAAAAACAGAGCAUGAGUAGAACGACUUCAAAUCCCACAUGGCACCACAGUGAGAAGUAACUUCCUCUGAGCUUCUUAGAGAAUCCAACAAUGUCCUGCUCCCUUGGGGAGCUGCAGCCAUGGGCACAUGGGCAUAGUGCUUCCACCAAGAGUCCCGUCAGUCACAGCAACAGGAGGUCUUCCUCAGACAACUUUGAUGAUAGUGGUUGUUAGACAGAGCAAGCUAGAACCAGAAAGAAAAACUAUGAAGAUGCCACAGUGGGAGUCUGAGCACCUUGAGGCCUCCUGUUGGAAACUGGCAAACCUAACUGUGGGACACUUGGAUGCUGAGUUCUGGUAAACAUGCUGUGGGAGGCACGGUAAUUUAGUCAUUAACAUUUAAAAAUGAUCUAAUUCUAUAUACAUACUCUGUUGAAGACUUCUUCCAACCACCUUGUAUUAUAAAUUUAAAAUAUGAAAUACAAACUCUUUAUGUGUCUUGACUCAGAUUACCUAGGAAGGGACAGUGACCUAUUCAUCAAUGUUUAGAAUUAGAGUAAGUUAUAGAAUAUAGUCUGAAAAAAUUACUUGGACCAAGAAAGCAAUGUCCCUGACAUUCAUCAAUCUAGAACCAGAGCUGCAGAUUAAGCUAGGUGCAAAUUUAUCAGAAAACAAUAUUUUUCCCAAAUACAUAUUGCAGCCAUAAAAUGCCCUAAAAACCCAGUUCUUAGAGGGACUAUUGCUUACUUACUGAAAAAUUUUAUUCUCUGAAAUCACAGACUAUCAGAUGCAUUGCUGUUUAAAAUUAUUGCAAUAAGAAUGAAACAUCUCACUCUUAUCUGGAGGAGUUAAGUCAUUGUGAUCAGUGAAGCCUUGAUUUACAGCUCCUGUGCAAAGCUUCAGAGAAUGGGUCUCAGGACACAACAUUUGACAUCUAUUUUGACUUCAUUUCCAAGAAAACAGGACUGCUAUGGUUUGAAUGUUUGUCUCCCCCAAACCAAUGUGUUGGCGGUGGGGCCUAAUGGGAGAUGUUUGGGUUAUCAGGGUGGAUCCCUCAUGAAUAGAUUAAUGCUCUCCCUGGGGUAGGGAGCAGUGAGUGAGUUCUUGCUUUAUUCAUUCUCAAGAGAGCUGGUUGUUAAACAGAGCCUGGCACCUCCCUCCUCUCUCCUCCCUCCUUGCUUUCUCUCUCACUGUAUGAUCUCGGCAAAAACACCUCCCCUCACCUUCUGCCAUGAGUGGAAGCAGCCUGAGCCUCUCACCAGGAGCAGAUGCUGGUGCCAUGCUUCUUGUACAGCUUGCAGAACAGUGAGCCAAAUAAACCUCUUUUCCUUAGAGAUUGCACAGCCUCAAAUGUUCCUCUAGAGCAACACAAAAUGGACUAAGACAAGAACCUUAGGUCCAUUUCACAGUACAGAGCUGAGGUUGACCCUUUUUAUACACAACCAUAUUUCUUAGAGCCCAUAGAAUAUCACUUCAUUUACAUCACACCUAAAUUCCACUCUUUAGCAAAAUCCUAUGUUAACUCUAUAUUUUCCUUUGUUUGAUGAGAUACACCACAAUUGCUCUGUUGUGCAGUCCCCACACUGCAAUGAGUCAGUAAACUCAAUUGGUUUGUUUACAGGUUGUCCCUGGUGGUUUCAGGCUGAUUGGGCUAAGACAAACCAUGUCUUAUUUUUUAAAUGUCUCCUUUAAGCAAAUGUUAUUAUCUAUAUUUUACUCUAUUCCAUAAGCAGAAGUAACAAAGUAGUCUAAUUGCACCAAAAGAUGCUUAUAGCAUAAAACUUUCUAUGCUGUAAACAUAGAAAGUUCUUG